CUGCUUUGUUUACCUAAGCAAGCCUGGGCAAUGGCGGGCGCCCCUCCCCCAGCCUCGCUGCUGCCUUGCAGUUUGAUCUCAGACUGCUGUGCUAGCAAUCAGCGAGACUCCGUGGGCAUAGGACCCUCCGAGCCAGGUGCGAGAUAUAAUCUCGCGGUGCGCCGUUUCUUAAGCCGGUCCGAAAGCGCAAUAUUCCGGUGGGAGAGACCCGAUUUUCCAGUGAGAUGAACCGUGUACCUCAGAUGGAAAUGCAGAAAUCACCCGUCUUCUGCGUCGCUCACGCUGGGAGCUGUAGACCGGAGCUGUUGCUAUUCGGCCAUCUUGGCUCCUCUCCUGCACUGCAAGAAUGGACUAAUAUACUAUGUGAAGACAAAGGGGAUGUCUGCAAGCCAGGACGAGUGCGUCUACCAGAAACUGAGUUCUGCUGGACUUUGAUCUAGGACAUCCAGCCUCAAGAAUGGAAUGUGCCAUAUGUGGAGACCUGCAUGGAAAGGAACUGAGGAUGCUCUCUGACUAAAAGCUAGAAGGAACUGAGGCCCUCAGUCAACAGUCUACAAGACACCAAAUCUUGCCAGCAGCCAUGCAGUGAGCUUGAAAGCAGAUCUAUCAUCAGCUGAACCUUCAGAUGAGACUGCAGCCUAAGCAGACACCUUGGUUGCAGCCAUGUGAGACAACCUGAAACAGAGGGCACAGCUAAGCCUCAGCCAGGUUCAUGACCCUCUGAGGAAGCUGUGAGAAAGCAAAUGUCACUUUAGGCUAUUUAAUUUUGGAGGUAGUUUGUUACACAACAAUAAAUAACUAUUAUAAUUAUCUUGAGGAUUUCCUGGGGAGAAUAAAUGGAAUUGUAUAUAUAGGUCCUCAUAUGCAGAAUACUGGUACCCCAGAGAUGUUCACCCCAGAGAUGUUGUAGGAACCUGUGAAUAUGUUACAUUAAAUGGCAAAGUUUUCCUGGAUGGUUUAAGUUUAAGAUGGAAAAGUUUUACUGGAUUAUCCAGUGGGUCCAAUCUAAUAACAUGAGUCCUUAAAAAUGGAGAAUAUUUUUUGGCCAUGAUCAGAGAGACAUGUGAUGAUGGAAGAAGUGUCAGAGAUGCAAUGUGAGGGGACUAAAACUGCUGUUGCUGACUUAAAAGAUGGAGAGAGGGGAACCCGAGUCAAGGAAUGCAAAUGGCCUCUGGAAGCUGGAAAAGGCAAGAAAUGGAUUCUUCUUUACAGCCUCCGGAAUAAAAUGCAGUCAUGCUAACACCUUGAUUUUACCUCAGUGAGACCAAUACUGGAGUAUGACCUCCAGAGCUGAAUAAAAUUAUAUGUACACAUCUUAAUUUCUUGGGAUUUGAUUACUUCUUCUGCUUUGAAAUUAGACCAAGUUUAGCCUGCCUUUGCUAUUUUGGCAUAUCUCCAAUUCUUCAUGAUUUUCUCAUAGUGUUGCCUCCAUAUGAUGCAAAAUAUCCAACCUAGCCCUGACAUGAAAACUUAAUUGAAAGUAUCCAACAGUGGUGCAAAGGCCACAUAAGGACAGUGAGAAGGCAGCCACCUGCAAGCCAGGAAGAAAGGUCUCACCAGAUACCAACCCUGCCAGCAUGUUGAUCUUGGACUUCCAGCCUCCAAAACUGGCCUUCUGCUCACAUGGGCUUCCGUGCACCUGCUUCAGGAGACAGCAACACUUGUGCCCGCACUGCGGCAGGCUCCCAUCACCUGGUGGAUAUGCCGCGCCGAGUCUCAUCACACCUUAGUGAAGGAACACAUGGACCCAUAUGUUAGCGGAUGUGUUUACAUCGUUUUAUACAGAAAGGGGAA
Molecule: long non-coding RNA, 1794 nt
Filed under: Pan troglodytes (chimpanzee)
Lineage: Eukaryota; Metazoa; Chordata; Mammalia; Primates; Hominidae
Description: lincRNA
Source: RNAcentral